UGUAGAUGACGAGCAAUCAGAUUUCAAAAGUAGGAUAUGUAUAGCAUGUGAGACUGUCAUCGUGAAAUGGGUCACGUGUUCCAUAUGUAAAUGCCAUUUUUUUGCUGAAGACGGUGGUCAUACAAUGAGAGUGAGAGUGAGUUUUGAUUUUUAUUCCGUGUUCCCCAUCUAGAGGCUUACUCAAACAUUAUUCCAAAGUGCAGGGUGGCCGCAACCAUAUUGGAGUGCGAAGGUGUAGUCUAUGCUUAUGUUGCCGCAAUAUGAACGAUAUGUGUUGGGGUGGCACCAACUUAGAGGGAUUGUAUAUGCUGCCCAGAGAAACCACACUCCAUUUCAGAAGAAAUAUUGUUUGUUGAACUAAGAUAAAGCAACAAUGGAGGAGCAUACGGGACAAAGGUCAUGAAGAAUGUGUUGCCGGAAAAAAAGCGGACGGAGUCGUUGGGAGUGGAGACGAAGGAGGUGAAGGUGGAAGUUGCCAUGGAG
Molecule: long non-coding RNA, 483 nt
Filed under: Vigna radiata
Lineage: Eukaryota; Viridiplantae; Streptophyta; Magnoliopsida; Fabales; Fabaceae
Description: long non-coding RNA (VRAD_LNC013355)
Source: RNAcentral